RNAcentral lists this ribosomal RNA (254 nucleotides) under uncultured bacterium. Its description in RNAcentral is "partial 16S ribosomal RNA". It matches the Rfam family "Bacterial small subunit ribosomal RNA", at positions 524 to 777 of the family's 1533-position model. The record is from RNAcentral.
UACGUAGGGGGCAAGCGUUGUCCGGAUUUAUUGGGCGUAAAGAGCGUGUAGGCGGCUUGGAAGGUCUGUCGUGAAAACUCGAGGCUCAACCUCGAGACGCCGAUGGAAACCAUCAAGCUAGAGUUCGGAAGACGGGAGUGGAAUUCCAGGUGUAGCGGUGGAAUGCGCAGAUAUCUGGAGGAACACCAAAGGCUAAGGCAGCUCCCGAGGACGAUACUGACGCUGAGACGCGAAAGCGUGGGGAGCGAACGAGG